Molecule: ribosomal RNA, 495 nt
Filed under: Mycobacterium parmense
Lineage: Bacteria; Bacillati; Actinomycetota; Actinomycetes; Mycobacteriales; Mycobacteriaceae
Description: bacterial SSU rRNA
Rfam family: Bacterial small subunit ribosomal RNA
Source: RNAcentral
UCUCUUCGGAGAUACUCGAGUGGCGAACGGGUGAGUAACACGUGGGCAAUCUGCCCUGCACUUCGGGAUAAGCCUGGGAAACUGGGUCUAAUACCGGAUAGGACCACUUGACGCAUGUCUUGUGGUGGAAAGCUUUUUGCGGUGUGGGAUGGGCCCGCGGCCUAUCAGCUUGUUGGUGGGGUGACGGCCUACCAAGGCGACGACGGGUAGCCGGCCUGAGAGGGUGUCCGGCCACACUGGGACUGAGAUACGGCCCAGACUCCUACGGGAGGCAGCAGUGGGGAAUAUUGCACAAUGGGCGCAAGCCUGAUGCAGCGACGCCGCGUGGGGGAUGACGGCCUUCGGGUUGUAAACCUCUUUCAGCAGGGACGAAGCGCAAGUGACGGUACCUGCAGAAGAAGCACCGGCCAACUACGUGCCAGCAGCCGCGGUAAUACGUAGGGUGCGAGCGUUGUCCGGAAUUACUGGGCGUAAAGAGCUCGUAGGUGGUUUGUC